This 399-nucleotide ribosomal RNA is filed under the name uncultured bacterium. RNAcentral describes it as "bacterial SSU rRNA". It matches the Rfam family "Bacterial small subunit ribosomal RNA", at positions 509 to 908 of the family's 1533-position model. The record is from RNAcentral.
CAGCAGCCGCGGUAAUACAGAGGGUGCAAGCGUUAAUCGGAUUUACUGGGCGUAAAGCGCGCGUAGGCGGCUAAUUAAGUCAAAUGCGAAAUCCCCGAGCUUAACUUGGGAAUUGCAUUCGAUACUGGUUAGCUAGAGUGUGGGAGAGGAUGGUAGAAUUCCAGGUGUAGCGGUGAAAUGCGUAGAGAUCUGGAGGAACACCGAUGGCGAAGGCAGCCCCCUGGGUCAAAACUGACGCUCAUGCACGAAAGCGUGGGGAGCAAACAGGAUUAGAUACCCUGGUAGUCCACGCCCUAAACGAUGUCUACUAGUUGUUGGGUCUUAAUUGACUUAGUAACGCAGCUAACGCGUGAAGUAGACCGCCUGGGGAGUACGGUCGCAAGAUUAAAACUCAAAGGA